UGUCAUCUUUCCAUAUUAGUACAUUUUGAUUUGUUUUACUUUUGAUGAUAGUACCUUGUUUUUGGUGUUGGGGAUUGGAUCCAGGGCCUUCCACAAGCUAAGCAUGCACCCUAUCACCAAGCUAUGCCAUCAGCCCUCAGCAUCUUAUUAUCUAUCUAUUUCUUUCUUUCUUUUUAAAUAUUUAUUUAUUUGUAGUUGAACACAAUAACCUUUAUUUAUUUAUUUAUUUUAUGUGAUGCUGAGGAUCGAACCCAGGGCCUUGCACAUGCAAGGCAAGCGCUCUACCGCAUAACCCCAGCUCCUUAUUAUCUAUUUCUAUUAAAUAUUUCUGCUUAAUAAUUUUGUUUAUUGAUUUAUUUUUUUGUGGGUGGUGCUGGGACUCGAACCCAGGAGUACUCUACCACUAAGCUACAUCCCCAGCCCUUUUUAUUUAUUUGUUUAUUCGUCUGUUUAUUUAUUUAUUUUUAAAAUAUUUUUUUAGAUGUUGAUGGACCUUUAUUUUAUUCAUUAAUGUAUAUGUGGUGCUGAGGAUCGAACCCAGUGCCUCACACAUGCUAGGCAAGCGCUCUACCACUGAGCCACAACCCCAUCUUUUUAUUUUAUUUUUUUGGUACUGGGGAUUGAGCUUAGAGGUACUUUACCACUGAGCUACAUCCCUAGUCCUUUUUAUUUUUUGUUUUUGAGAUAGGAUCUCUCUUAAGUUGUUGAGGGUCUUGCUAAGUUGCUGAGGCUGGCCUUGAAUUUGUAAUCUCCUGCCCUCAGCCUCUGUAGUUGCUGCGAUUACAGGCAUGUACCACCAUACCAGGCUUUAUUUAGUAAUUUUUUAUAAUAUAAGUUGUGACUAGUCUUUGUUAAUAUAAAUAAAAAUUGCUUUAAGAAACAUCUUUAUGCAUAUACAUUUGUUUUUGGAUGCUUGAAUCUAUUUUUGUGUAAUAAGUUCCUAAUCGUAAAAGCCUAGAUCAAGGGUGUGUGUGUUUGUUUUAUACUUUAAUAUGACUAAAAAGUGUGUUAGAAUUUCCAGUCCUAUGAAAAGAGAUGAGCGUGUCUGUUUUCCUGUACCUGACCAUCUCUUCUCUACGGUAUUGAUGAUUUGGGCUGGAUAGCUUUUUUUGUUGCAGGCUGUCCUGUGCAUCAUCGGUAUUAGCAUAGCCUUGUCUUAUACCCACUAGGUACUGGUAACUUCCUUUCCCCAGUAGUUAUAAGUAAAAACAUUUCUAGAUGUUGCCAAACACCCUCUUGAGGGUUGAGAACCAUAACCUUAUAUAGGCCAUGCUAUGUGGCCUGGUAAUCAGUGGAUAUAGACAAGUGAAUGACUACUCCUGGAGAAAGUAAGCAUGGUGGGUUUUGAUUGAAAGACUCUGUUUUCUGAAGAUGAAAGGAAUACCUGUUCCUGGGUCUUUGGUCACAUUAUAUCAAGAUCAUACAUUUGUACCUUUCUAGGUCAGGAUGUUAUUAAUAAACUAAUGGAAUUUCAGUUCAUCAUUUGAUUAAAUACUUUUAGCUCUUGAAGUUAUGGUCUAUAAAGCAAAGUAAAUAUUAACAAAAAUAUAGUAAGUCCUUUGGGAACACAAAUAGGCAAAGAACAAAUGGUCUUUUCAAUAUCAGAGUACUUUGAAUGAACUAUAAUGUACAUUAGGUAAGGGUGGAACUCCAGUUUAUUUAGAAAUGUCUCUUGAGUAUCUUCUGUGUGCCAAGUCACUAUGCUUUGUAUUGCAGUACCUACCCUAACUGCCUACUGAAGAAGACUAAUAAGAAAACAACUAUCAGCAGGUUGAAUGUUAUAAUUGAAGUGAACACAGCAUGCUAAGGGAGUACACAGGAAAGGUAUCUAAUACAGUCUGAGAUUAGGGAAGGCUCAUUAGAGGUGAUACUUGAAUGAUGGGCAGGAACAAAAGAAUUCAAGAAGAGAGGAGAAGGGUUGACUCAGGAAGAGUAUCAUUUGACCAGAGGUAACAGACAUUGUAUCUGAAAAUAGUUCAUUGUGCCUGGGCAUUUUGUGAGAGGUAGGAAUGAACAAAUUUCAGGUAGCCUUUUGUACCCAAUAGGUGUCUUCUGGAGGAUUUAACUAGAGAGUGAUGAAAGUGGUCAGAUUUUUAUUUUGGAAUAACAACCAGAAACAAUUGUGCUGGGAGGAUUAGAAAAAGGGCAAGAGUAGAGGUAGAGAGACCAGCUAGGAGACUCUUGCUGUAAUCUUGUGUAGAGAUGAUGAGAGCCUAAGCUGACACAUUGGCAGGAUGAGUGGAGAGGCUAUUGGACUUAGAAGAUAUUUAGGAAGUAGAAUGAACAGGAAUUGGUGAUUGGUUAACCAGAUUGAUUAUAGUGACUUUUACAUGAUGAAAGGAAAUAGAGGUAGAGGAGAUAAUGAAUGAUUCCUUUUUUUUUUUAACCUAUUGACUUGAAACCAUUUGAAAUCAAAGGAGAACCCUAAUAUAGUUCUAGAGAUAAUUGCAAUUGGUAUUUUCAGUAUGUCCUUCCAGACUUUUUACAUGUAUAUAUGAAUGUAUGUGUGAUUUUGUAUAUGAGAUUUAAUCAUCCUAG
RNAcentral lists this long non-coding RNA (2538 nucleotides) under Marmota monax (woodchuck). The record is from RNAcentral. Lineage: Eukaryota; Metazoa; Chordata; Mammalia; Rodentia; Sciuridae.